RNAcentral lists this ribosomal RNA (403 nucleotides) under uncultured bacterium. RNAcentral's name for it is "partial 16S ribosomal RNA". It matches the Rfam family "Bacterial small subunit ribosomal RNA", at positions 30 to 526 of the family's 1533-position model. The record is from RNAcentral.
AUUGAACGCUGGCGGCAGGCCUAACACAUGCAAGUCUAGCGAGCGGCGGACGGGUGAGUAAUGUAUGGGGACUGCCCGAUAGAGGGGGAUAACUACUGGAAACGGUGGCUAAUACCGCAUACUAUCGGAUAACCCAUAUGGGAUGAGCUAGUCGGUGGGUUAAAGGCUCCCCUAGGCGACGCUGUCUAGCUGGUCUGAGAGGAGUAUCAGCCACACUGGGACUGAGACACGGCCCAGACUCCUACGGAGGCAGCAGUGGGUAAUAUUGUACAAUGGGCGCAAGCCUGAUGCAGCCAUGCCGCGUGUAUGAAGAAGGCCUUAGGGUUGUAAAGUACUUUCAGCGGGGAGGCGUUACCCGCAGAAGAAGCGCCGGCUAACUCCGUGCCAGCAGCCGCGGUAAUUC